CCUACGGGUGGCUGCAGUGAGGAAUAUUGGUCAAUGGACGCAAGUCUGAACCAGCCAUGCCGCGUGCAGGAUGACGGCUCUAUGGGUUGUAAACUGCUUUUGUACGAGGGUAAACCCCUAUACGUGUAGCAGGUUGUAAGUAUCGUACGAAUAAGGAUCGGCUAACUCCGUGCCAGCAGCCGCGGUAAUACGGAGGAUCCGAGCGUUAUCCGGAUUUAUUGGGUUUAAAGGGUGCGUAGGCGGUUUGAUAAGUUAGAGGUGAAAUGUCGGGGCUCAACCCUGAAAUUGCCUCUAAUACUGUUGGUCUAGAGAAGAGUGGAGGUAGGCGGAAUGUAUGGUGUAGCGGUGAAAUGCUUAGAGAUCAUACAGAACACCGAUUGCGAAGGCAGCUCACCAAACUAUAUCUGACGUUGAGGCACGAAAGCGUGGGUAGCAAACAGGAUUAGAUACCCUGGUAGUC
This 460-nucleotide ribosomal RNA is filed under the name uncultured bacterium. RNAcentral describes it as "partial 16S ribosomal RNA". It matches the Rfam family "Bacterial small subunit ribosomal RNA", at positions 338 to 795 of the family's 1533-position model. The record is from RNAcentral.